GGGAGCCAGAUUUUUUUCCCUUCCCUUGGCAAUCCCUUCCGCUUCCCCGGCUCCUGGCGUGACAUCUGCGGGCCGGGGACCUGUAUGUGUGUGCGCGCGAAGGAGCGGAAGAAUGGCCGUGCUCAAACUCACCGACCAGCCACCACUGGUCCAAGCAAUCUUCAGCGGUGAUCCAGAGGAGAUACGGAUGCUCAUCCACAAAACAGAAGAUGUGAAUGCUCUGGAUUCUGAGAAGCGAACCCCACUUCAUGUGGCUGCGUUUCUGGGAGAUGCAGAGAUAAUUGAACUCCUGAUUCUGUCAG
Non-coding RNA from Odocoileus virginianus texanus, 302 nucleotides. Lineage: Eukaryota; Metazoa; Chordata; Mammalia; Artiodactyla; Cervidae. The record is from RefSeq and is a predicted model, not a curated record.